UGUGAUCAAGCCUUUGGUGUCACUGCUCUGCGCUAGGUGCUGACGUAGUUGGUGAAGUACUUCUGAGGAGUUGGAAGAUUGAAGUCUAUAUUCAGGGGGAGUUUAGCUCGGGAUCGGGAAGAUUUUGAUAAACAAAAGUCUAGGCUCUAGGGUGAGUUUUAGCUUAGGAUUGGGGUAAUCCUAAAGGAUUCUUGUAAUAGAAAAGAUUGGUGUAAGACUUUUUUGUUCUAGUGAAUUCGAAAAGAGAAAAACUCGUGUCUUAUUUAUUUCUGCAUUUUACUCUGGCCUCACUGCAUUAACAAGUGGUAUCAGAGCGGGUCACCUAAGUUACUGGUGUGAUCUUGAAGGGUGAGGAAAAAAACUGAUUCAGGAAGAAGGACAGAGUUUGUGAUGGCGGCAUAUCAAGAGGGAACGUCUAUGACAAAACCCCCCACGUCUUGAUUCAUCCAAUUAUGGGUAUUGGAAGGUGCGGAUGCAAGCAUUCAUCAGUGGUCUUGAUGAGGAUUGUUGGAGCUCUAUUGAAGCUGGUUAGAGUCAUCCAGUGAUGCUUAAUGAUGAGAAGGUUGAAGUUUUUAAGCCAAGAGAUCAGUGGACUGCUUCAGAGAAGAGGACUUCAAGUUGUAACUCUAAGGCAAAGACAACGAUUUACAAUGCUAUUGAUGCAAGCUAUUUCAAGUUGAUUUCUCGAUGUGCUUCAGCUCAGAAGGCAUGGAAGACAUUGGAGAAUAUGUUUGAAGGUACUACAAGUGUCAAACGUACCAAGCUGGAUAUGUUAGCAUCAAGGUUUGAGAAUCUGAGGAUGGAUGAAGAGGAAACUGUGGCUCAGUUUAGUGCUAAGUUGUGUGACAUUUCAAAUGAAUGUUUUGCACUUGGAAAGCAAUACAAGGACAAAAAGCUGGUGAAGAAGCUGAAGAGAUCGUUGCUUUCCAAGUUUGAGUCAAAGAUCUCUGCUGUAGAAGAAGCUCACAAUCUGGAUGAGAUGGCUUUUGAUGAGUUUGCUGGGAUUCUUCAAGCUUUUGAGCUGAGCAAAUCAUAUGGAAAAUGGGAGAAGAAGAAAGAAGAUCCAUAUGAAAUUGCUUUAAAGAGUUCAACUUCUGAAGAUCCUUUAGCGAUGUUGUCAAGAAACUUUGCUAGCUAUAUGAAGCAAAUAGAGGACAAGAUAAAGAAUGGAAGAAGAAGUGAUUUGGGAAGAUCAUCAUCAAAGGUACAAUGCUACAAGUGCAAUGGAUUUGGGCAUGUUCGGAAGGAGUGUGCGAAUUUACUGAAGCAAAAGAAGAGGGAUGACAAGAAUGAUACUGAUGAUGAUUCAGAUGAUGGUGAGAAGCUAAAGAACUUUGUGGCAUUCACAACUUUUGUGCCUGGUUCCAAGAUAGAAUCUACGACGGGAUCUACAGCGGGAUCUGCCUCUGCGUCUAUGUCAGGGUCUUCAUGUGGAGGUGAUGAUGAUGCUGGAAGUGAAGAUGAUGAUGGUGGAAGCUUUGAUCUUGCUGGGAAUUAUGAAAAGUUGUAUGAGCAUUGGCUCAAACUAGUUGAGACAAACUCAUAUUUGGCUAAGGAGAAAGCCAAGCUAGAAGCUCAAGUUGCUGAAGCACUUAAGCAUGCUUCAGAGAAAGAAGAAGAAGCACGACUGGCUGUUGCUCAACUUGCAGAGACUCGGAAGGGUUUGAGGAUGCUGAAUAAUGGGAUGGAUCAGCUAGAUCAACUUCUCAGUAUUGGGCAAAGUGAUAGAUGCAGCAUUAGAUAUCAAGGAGAAUGUUCUAAGGCUGAAGGUGUUUUUGUAUCAGCAGGAGAAACUAAGGAUGUAGCUACGUCUGCUACAAAGCCAGAAGUUAAGAUGUCUGCAGAGAAUGCUGCAAAUGGAAAGACUACAGUGAAGCCUGCAACUGAUGUGAAGAAUGUGACGGCUACGCGUACUGCUACGGCGACUACUCCUGAGAGAGUUUCUGGAUGGAAGAAUGGAUCUCAACAAAGGUUUCGGCCUAUUUGUCAUCACUGUGGUAUUGUUGGACACAUUCGGCUAAGGUGUUUCAAGUUAUUGAGGGAAAAGAAUCAGAUGGAGCAAGCCUAUGGUAUGAGGUAUCAUGGACCUAUAUGUUAUUCUUGUGGAGUUCAAGGGCAUAUGCGACGUGAUUGUGUCAAGUCUGUUCAAGGAGCUAAUCAUGGAGGAUUUGGGCUCAGGAAACGUGGGCUAGGAGAUUUGAUCAUUAUGGAGAUGGUGGAAUGGGAUUUCCUCCUCAUUUUAGAGGAUAUGGAUCUUCAUAUUAGUUUUUGACCAUGAUGUGACUCAUAGGGGGAGAUUAAAGACGUGGCUUUUAUAUCCAGAGGUGAUGAGUUCACAUGCAUAGCCAAAAAUGGGGAGAUUGAAGAUGUAUAUUCUGUAUCAGUUCGUGAAGUACUACUGGAGGUAGUACAUGCGUGUGUCAUGAAGAUGGGCUUGGUUGAAAUUCGUAUUAUGUGAUGUCCGUGGGCUUGUUAAGCUUGGAGAAGAAGCAAUAUGUUUAUUGAAAGAUUUACAUUAAGCGUAAAUGAUAUUACUUGAAGAGGAAAAAGCAAGAGAGUUAUUCCUUGGGAGAAAAAAGAAAAUUGCUUAAGUUGCUUUUGAACUUGGAGAGCAAGUUCUGGUUAUGUAUACAUGGAGGACGUGCCUCUAAGAAGAGAGUUGUCUCUGCUAAAAGAAGAAAAGUCGAGAGAUCAUUGUUUGGUGCUUGUGUGAUCAAGCCUUUUGUGUCACUGCUCUGCGCUAGGUGCUGACGUAGUUGGUGAAGUACUUCCGAGGAGUUGAAAGAUUGAAGUCUAGAUUCAGAGGGAGUUUAGCUCGGGAUCGGGAAGAUUCUGAUAAACAAAAGUCUAGGCUCUAGGGUGAGUUUUAGAUUAGGAUUGGGGUAAUCCUAAAGGAUUCUUGUAAUAGAAAAGAUUGGUGUAAGACUUUCUUAUUCUAGUGAAUUCGAAA
Molecule: long non-coding RNA, 2950 nt
Filed under: Brassica napus (rape)
Lineage: Eukaryota; Viridiplantae; Streptophyta; Magnoliopsida; Brassicales; Brassicaceae
Description: long non-coding RNA (BNAP_LNC021004)
Source: RNAcentral